This 170-nucleotide ribosomal RNA is filed under the name Pagrus major (red seabream). Its description in RNAcentral is "partial 12S ribosomal RNA". Lineage: Eukaryota; Metazoa; Chordata; Actinopteri; Spariformes; Sparidae. The record is from RNAcentral.
CACCGCGGUUAUACGGGAGGCCCAAGUUGUUAAAAAUCGGCGUAAAGGGUGGUUAAGAGCAAGCUUAAAAUUAAAGCCGAACGCCUUCUAGGCUGUUAUACGCAUCCGAAGGUAAGAAGCCCAAUCACGAAAGUAGCUUUAUAUUUUCUGACCCCACGAAAGCUAAGAUA